This 233-nucleotide ribosomal RNA is filed under the name uncultured bacterium. RNAcentral describes it as "partial 16S ribosomal RNA". It matches the Rfam family "Bacterial small subunit ribosomal RNA", at positions 27 to 240 of the family's 1533-position model. The record is from RNAcentral.
GAGCGAACGCUGGCGGCGUACUUAACACAUGCAAGUCGAACGGGGAUCGACACGUGAGCAAUCACGUGGCGGUCUUAAGUGGCGUACGGGUCGAGUAACACGUGGGCAACCUGCCCUUGAGUCUGGGAUAACCUCCCGAAAGGGAGGCUAAUACCGGAUACGGUCCUCGGGUCGCGAGGAUCUGAGGAAGAAAGGUGGCGCAAGCUACCGCUCUUGGAGGGACUCGCGGCCUA